Molecule: long non-coding RNA, 2555 nt
Filed under: Capsicum annuum
Lineage: Eukaryota; Viridiplantae; Streptophyta; Magnoliopsida; Solanales; Solanaceae
Description: long non-coding RNA (CANN_LNC019396)
Source: RNAcentral
AAAUUAUAUUAAUGGUGCAGAAAAUUCAUAUUAAUAUGCUGGAAAAUGCAAUAACAUGUUGGAAAUGCCUAAAAUCUAAUAUUUUAACAUGCAAAAAACUAUAUUAAUAGUGCAGAAAUUUCAUAUUAAUGUGCUGGACAAUGCAAUAGCAUGCUGAAAAUGCCUAAAAUCUAAUAUUUUAACGCGUCAAAACUUAGUUUUGACAUGCAUGAACUAUACUGUUUUUGGCAGGCAGAAAUGUAUUAACAGGCAGAAGUUUAAUGUUAACAUGCUUAGAUUUGUGUUUAAAUGCUAGAACAUUCGACGACAUAAUUAAUACCAAUUUUUAACAUCUAGGAGAUAUCAUUAAUAUGCAUACAAUUAAUUGUUAACAUGCAUACCAUAUUAUCAUGCUUAAAUAUUUACAUGCUGAAAACACGAAAUGACAUGAUCUGAGCGUCUAAACAUGCUAAAAAUGUAUUAACGUGCAAAAAUUAAUUAUUGACAUGCACAAUAUAAACAUGCUCAAAUUUAUUUUGAUAUGCCUAAAUUGUGUUAACAUACCGAAACAUAAUGACAUGUUAAUAAAUUGCAGUGUUUUAACAGGCAGAAAAUUAAUGUAGUAGGCCAACGUACUGAAAAAAUUACCAUGCUUAAAUUCAAUGUGGAUAUAUGUCAAAAGAGGUGUUAGCAUGCAUAAACUCAAUUUAAUAUGUCGGGUGUUAAUUAGAAAACCUUAACGCAAAAGUUCUAAGCGAAUCAAUUAAUAAAAAUGUCUAAAAGAUUCAUGUGUUAAUAAAUCCUACUUUUUGUGCCUAAAUGAUCCACGUAGCAUAUAACACACAUAAAAACCUAAGUUGUGCCUACCUACACUACCUACACUAUGUAAGUCCCCGCCCCCGAGCAGUCCUCAAAAUUAUUAUUACAAUAAUGAUGUCUUUACAGUAAUAUUACAAACCAAAUAAUACAAAAAAUGAGAAAGAAAAACAACUAGCUAUAAGGAAUAACAUAUUCAAUUUAAAUAUCCCAGCGACUCUUCGAAAUUCGUAAUCGUCUACUUAAACCUACGAGGCAAGAUAUAGUGGUAAAUAAAAGGUUGUUGAAGUAAAGCAAUCUCAGCAAUGAGAUGAACAGAACGCUUCCUUAAAACUCACAAAGAGAUGCCACACAGCUUUGAGAAAUAUGUCUUGGAAUAGCUAAUAAUUUUUGUUUUAGAAAGUAAAAGUAGAAAAAGGGAAAUCUCUCCUCCUCUAAUUGAAAAGAGAGGCCCUUUCUAUGGGAGAAGGGAUACCGGGUGAUAAAAGGAAGAAAUCAAUUCUCUAAAUCAAUUAGAAAAAUUGUUUUCCUUCAAAUCUCUAAAUCAAUUAGGAAAAUUGUUCCUUGAAUAAAUAUGGAAAAUCAAUUAGCUUGCAAAAUCAUGUCAUGAUUACCAUAAGAGAAAAAAAUAAGAAUCUAUACAAAUAUAAUAUUGAGAUUUCUCCUAAAAUAAACAAGUACUUUAAAAGGCAAAUAACAUAUGAGUGGGCAGCACUAAUACCCGCCCAAAACAAAAGAAUAAAAGUAAAACGUCCCUUAAUCAAGGGAUUGCAAUUACGCACAAAAUCAAAGUUACCAAAUAUAAUCGCAUAAAAUCAGAAUUUAAGCUUGUCAAAUAUGGUCUAUCAUGAAGAUUAAUCUACCACAAGACUGUUAUAAUUUCAAAUUCACACAAAUUAAGUGUUUAAAAACCAAGAGAGUAGGGAAAAUCAUAAUUACGGCUAGAUUUGAUACUACCUUAGUGAUAAAUUCAUAACAACUACACACAAGAGAAUCGUAAUUUUAAAAUUUGUCAGAUCAGCAUUCAAACCAAAAAUUAAGCGAAUUUUAAAGUCUAUGAAUGUUAACAAGAGCAGAUCACCAAAAACUAAACCAAAAAUUUCAAUAACUCCAGUCAAUUUCAGACACCAGAAGUUUUCGACACAAAACAAAAGAAGAAUAAAGUAGAAAUACCAACUUGAGACGGAUUCAUAUGUGUGAACCCGUCAUGUUUUUAACAAUUUCUGGCGAGGAAUGGGUCGUGGAGGGAAAGAAAAACCUAAUCGAUGGCGGCAUGUGGACGCACGGAGAGCAUCAGCGGCGGCUGCAUGGUUAGCCGGAGGAGCCUGAGCUAGCCGAUCGUGGUGGCGGCUAUGGGGAUGGUCUCGCCGGACGCGUGGCUGGCGAGGCGGCUGCGGGGGUCGUCGUUGGUCUCCGGCGUUGGGAUAGGAGGCGGCAUACACGGCUGGGGACUGGACGUUGUUGUUUUCUGUUGGUGGCGCCGGUGGAGCAGCUAUCAACGAUGGCAGACCUCGCCGGAGCGGGAGAAAGGGGAGACGGCAGAUGCUCGUUGCUGUCCAGAGGCUGGCGGUGGUUUCGCCGGGGAAGGAGGAUGAGAGGGGAGAGGAGGAAAGAGAAGGGCGGGCGGUGGAGCGGCGGCAACAGCCGUCCCCCGGAGAGUAGCGGCUGCAGCAGCCGUCCCCCGGAGAGGAGCGGCGGCAGCAGCCGUCCCCCGGAGAGGAGAGAGAGGAGAGAAGAGAGAGAGCAGUUAGAGAGAGAGG